This 561-nucleotide ribosomal RNA is filed under the name Racocetra sp. 1 RJ-2015. Its description in RNAcentral is "SSU rRNA". It matches the Rfam family "Eukaryotic small subunit ribosomal RNA", at positions 548 to 1115 of the family's 1831-position model. Lineage: Eukaryota; Fungi; Glomeromycota; Glomeromycetes; Diversisporales; Gigasporaceae. The record is from RNAcentral.
UUGGAGGGCAAGUCUGGUGCCAGCAGCCGCGGUAAUUCCAGCUCCAAUAGCGUAUAUUAAAGUUGUUGCAGUUAAAAAGCUCGUAGUUGAAUUUCGGGGUUCUACCGUUGGUCGGGCUUUGUCUGUACUGGCGUGUAGAAUUUCUACCUUCUGGGGAACCAUCAUGUUAUUAAUUUAACGUGGUGGGAAACCAGGACCUUUACCUUGAAAAAAUUAGAGUGUUCAAAGCAGGCUUAUGUCUGAAUACAUUAGCAUGGAAUAAUAAAAUAGGACGGUGGUCCUGUUUUGUUGGUUUCUGAAUCACCGUAAUGAUUAAUAGGGAUAGUUGGGGGCAUUAGUAUUCAAUUGUCAGAGGUGAAAUUCUUGGAUUUAUUGAAGACUAACUUCUGCGAAAGCAUUUGCCAAGGAUGUUUUCAUUAAUCAAGAACGAAAGUUAGGGGAUCGAAGACGAUCAGAUACCGUCGUAGUCUUAACCAUAAACUAUGCCGACUAGGGAUCGGACGAUGUUAAUUUUUCUUGACUCGUUCGGCGCCUUACGGGAAACCAAAGUGUUUGGGUUCA